CCGGGUGUGAUGACUCCGGUGCUGCCUGAGCUGCUGUGAUGCUGCUGUAUUCGUACUGUCUGACCCGG
Small nucleolar RNA from Cuculus canorus (common cuckoo), 68 nucleotides. NCBI's taxonomy places the organism in Eukaryota, Metazoa, Chordata, Aves, Cuculiformes, Cuculidae. The record is from Rfam.